Molecule: ribosomal RNA, 433 nt
Filed under: uncultured bacterium
Lineage: Bacteria
Description: partial 16S ribosomal RNA
Rfam family: Bacterial small subunit ribosomal RNA
Source: RNAcentral
AACGAACGCUGGCGGCAUGCCUAACACAUGCAAGUCGAACGAGACCUUCGGGUCUAGUGGCGCACGGGUGCGUAACGCGUGGGAACCUGCCCUUAGGUUCGGAAUAACUCCCCGACAGGGGUGCUAAUACCGGAUAAUGUCUUCGGACCAAAGAUUUAUCGCCUUUGGAUGGGCCCGCGUUGGAUUAGCUAGUAGGUAGGGUAAAAGCCUACCAAGGCGACGAUCCAUAGCUGGUAUGAGAGGAUGAUCAGCCACACUGGGACUGAGACACGGCCCAGACUCCUACGGAAGGCAGCAGUGGGGAAUAUUGGACAAUGGGCGAAAGCCUGAUCCAGCAAUGCCGCGUGAGUGAUGAAGGCCUUAGGGUUGUAAAGCUCUUUUACCCGGGAUGAUAAUGACAGUACCGGGAGAAUAAGCUCCGGCUAACUCCGUG